RNAcentral lists this ribosomal RNA (450 nucleotides) under uncultured bacterium. Its description in RNAcentral is "partial 16S ribosomal RNA". It matches the Rfam family "Bacterial small subunit ribosomal RNA", at positions 354 to 796 of the family's 1533-position model. The record is from RNAcentral.
GUGGGGAAUCUUCCGCAAUGGACGAAAGUCUGACGGAGCGACGCCGCGUGAGUGAAGAAGGCCUUCGGGUCGUAAAGCUCUGUCAUCAGGGACGAACGGCCGGUGGAGUGGAAAGCCACCGGAUUGACGGUACCUGAGAAGGAAGCCACGGCUAACUACGUGCCAGCAGCCGCGGUAAUACGUAGGUGGCAAGCGUUGUCCGGAAUUAUUGGGCGUAAAGCGCGCGCAGGUGGGAUCUUAAGUCCAUUUUUAAAGUUCGGAGCUCAACUCCGUGAUGGGAUGGAAACUGGGAUUCUUGAGUACCGGAGAGGAAAGCGGAAUUCCCGGUGUAGCGGUGAAAUGCGUAGAGAUCGGGAGGAACACCAGUGGCGAAGGCGGCUUACUGGACUGUAACUGACGCUGAGGCGCGAAAGUGUGGGGAGCAAACAGGAUUAGAAACCCCUGUAGUCC